This 274-nucleotide ribosomal RNA is filed under the name uncultured bacterium. RNAcentral's name for it is "partial 16S ribosomal RNA". It matches the Rfam family "Bacterial small subunit ribosomal RNA", at positions 523 to 796 of the family's 1533-position model. The record is from RNAcentral.
AUACGGGGGGAGCAAGCGUUGUCCGGAAUUACUGGGCGUAAAGGGCGUGUAGGCGGCUUGAUAAGUCAGAUGUGAAAGCCUUCCGCUUAACGGAAGAACUGCAUUUGAAACUGUCGGGCUUGAGUGCGAGAGAGGGUAGUGGAAUUCCCAGUGUAGCGGUGAAAUGCGUAGAUAUUGGGAAGAACACCAGUAGCGAAGGCGGCUACCUGGCUCGUAACUGACGCUAAGGCGCGAAAGCGUGGGGAGCAAACAGGAUUAGAAACCCCGGUAGUCC